UGGGUAACCUGCCCAAGAGAUCGGGAUAACACCUGGAAACAGAUGCUAAUACCGGAUAACAACAGAUGAUGCCUAUCAACUGUUUAAAAGAUGGUUCUGCUAUCACUCUUGGAUGGACCUGCGGUGCAUUAGCUAGUUGGUAGGGUAACGGCCUACCAAGGCGAUGAUGCAUAGCCGAGUUGAGAGACUUAUCGGCCACAUUGGGACUGAGGCACGGCCCAAACUCCUACGGGAGGCAGCAGUA
RNAcentral lists this ribosomal RNA (244 nucleotides) under uncultured Lactobacillus sp. RNAcentral describes it as "partial 16S ribosomal RNA". It matches the Rfam family "Bacterial small subunit ribosomal RNA", at positions 118 to 355 of the family's 1533-position model. Lineage: Bacteria; Bacillati; Bacillota; Bacilli; Lactobacillales; Lactobacillaceae. The record is from RNAcentral.